This 497-nucleotide ribosomal RNA is filed under the name uncultured bacterium. Its description in RNAcentral is "partial 16S ribosomal RNA". It matches the Rfam family "Bacterial small subunit ribosomal RNA", at positions 28 to 507 of the family's 1533-position model. The record is from RNAcentral.
GAUGAACGCUGGCGGCGUGCCUAAUACAUGCGAGUCGAGCGAACGGACGAGAAGCUUGCUUUUCUGAUGUUAGCGGCGGACGGGUGAGUAACACGUGGAUAACCUACCUAUAAGACUGGGAUAACUUCGGGAAACCGGAGCUAAUACCGGAUAAUAUUUUGAACCGCAUGGUUCAAAAGUGAAAGACGGUCUUGCUGUCACUUCUAGAUGGAUCCGCGCUGCAUUAGCUAGUUGGUAAGGUAACGGCUUACCAAGGCAACGAUGCAUAGCCGACCUGAGAGGGUGAUCGGCCACACUGGAACUGAGACACGGUCCAGACUCCUACGGGAGGCAGCAGUAGGGAAUCUUCCGCAAUGGGCGAAAGCCUGACGGAGCAACGCCGCGUGAGUGAUGAAGGUCUUCGGAUCGUAAAACUCUGUUAUUAGGGAAGAACAUAUGUGUAAGUAACUGUGCACAUCUUGACGGUACCUAAUCAGAAAGCCACGGCUAACUACGUG